RNAcentral lists this long non-coding RNA (1531 nucleotides) under Musa acuminata (dwarf banana). RNAcentral describes it as "long non-coding RNA (MACU_LNC005447)". Lineage: Eukaryota; Viridiplantae; Streptophyta; Magnoliopsida; Zingiberales; Musaceae. The record is from RNAcentral.
UCCAUCUCUUAGGAGCCUUGUGGUGAUAGGAGCCAUUAAAUCUUCUUCCACUUCAUACCAACUGCAUUGCCAUAUAUUUCCAAGAUCCAAGCAUUUGACUGCAGUGUGUCACUGAGGGCAUAUACUCUCUCCAUGGCUCUCCUCCUUCUCCUCCUCUCCUCCAUCCUGAUCUCCAUGCUGCAUUGGAGCAGUGGUCAGCCUUCUCCUGGAUACUACCCGAGCCACAGGUUCAAGCCUUUGCCUGGCUUCUACCAUGGGUACAGCAACCUCUGGGGGCCUCAGCAUCAAACAGUCUCCGGAGACCAGUCCUCAGCGACCAUUUGGCUCGAUAGGAACUCAGGUUUCCUCACUCUACCUCCAGGAACUCCAUCUCUAUCUCGUCAUGCUAAUCCUGCUCAUAUUCUACUGGUGACAGGAAGCGGAUUCAAGUCGAAUCGCCCUUAUCGAAGUGGGUAUUUUGCGGCAUCCAUCAAGCUCCAAGCUGGAUACACUGCAGGAGUGAUCACUGCUUUCUAUGUGAGGAGGAUUGAGCCUGGACAAAAUUAUAUUACAACAUUAAAAUGUUACCUUGCAUCGUUUGUUUGACAAUGCUGUUGCUGAAAUCGUUGGACUGCAGCUUUCUAAUAACCAGGUACAUCCUGGGUUCCAUGAUGAGGUGGACAUUGAGUUCAUGGGGAAUACUCCAGGAAAGCCAUACAGAUUGCAGACCAAUGUGUACAUCAGGGGCAGCGGCGAUAGUAGAUAUGUUGGGAGGGAGAUGAAGUUCCACCUUUGGUUUGACCCGACUGCCGAUUUCCACAACUAUGCCAUCCUGUGGAACCCAGACGAGAUCAUGUAAGUAAAUCACCUGUGUCAACUGGGACUCCUUUUGAUUCAUUUUGGUUUGAACUCUUGACCUCCUCCUGAUCUUGUUGGACAUGUGAAAACUUGUCUUUCCCAACUGCAAGUCUGGGAAUAUAAAGAUUAGUUCACCUAAAUUGAAGAACCCAAUGAUAAACGAAAGAGAAGUUCCCUUCUUAUCUUCUUGUACAGUAGUAAAUAGUGUUUGCCAUUGAAUGCUAAGACUGGGCCUCACCACGGUGUUAUUAUAAAAGGGUAGGAGUAUGUUACCAAACCUAAUCUGCCAAGAGGGAAAUAGUAAAUAUAAAAUGCUACCUAUCAAGAACAAUGACUGAUUUGAUGGCUGAUUUUGUCAACCAGACACCAAAAGGUAUCUACAUGUACAACAUCCCAUGUAACUAGGCAAGAGCAAAAGUAGUGGCAGGGUCUGAAACAGCUAAACUUGGUAGAGUGUGUGGCCUUGUGAACGAUGCUCUCUUUGGAGCGUGGACUGUAGAAGAUGACAGCCAUUUGUGCCUGCAGAUUCUUUGUGGACGACAUACCUAUACGGCGGUAUCCGAGGAAGAGCGAAAACACAUUUCCGAUGCGGCCAAUGUGGAUGUAUGGAACCAUCUGGGAUGCAUCAUCUUGGGCCACGGACAGAGGCAAGUACAGGGUCGACUACCGGUACCAGCCGUUCGUCGCAAGGUUC